UACAGAGACUCCAAGCGUUAUUCGGAUUCACUGGGCGUAAAGGGAGCGCAGGCGGCCAGAUGUGUCAGAUGUGAAAUACUGCAGCUUAACUGUAGAACUGCAUUUGAAACUAUCUGGCUAGAGUAUCGGAGAGGUAAGCGGAAUUCCAGGUGUAGCAGUGAAAUGCGUAGAUAUCUGGAGGAACACCAAUGGCGAAGGCA
Molecule: ribosomal RNA, 200 nt
Filed under: uncultured bacterium
Lineage: Bacteria
Description: partial 16S ribosomal RNA
Rfam family: Bacterial small subunit ribosomal RNA
Source: RNAcentral